RNAcentral lists this long non-coding RNA (247 nucleotides) under Gossypium raimondii (Peruvian cotton). RNAcentral's name for it is "long non-coding RNA (GRAI_LNC004562)". The record is from RNAcentral. Lineage: Eukaryota; Viridiplantae; Streptophyta; Magnoliopsida; Malvales; Malvaceae.
CGGUAUUGACAUGGGAGGAGCGGGGGCAAUAGGCUAGGGUUAGGGUGCGGCGCUAGGGUUUGUGUUGAACACUAUUUAGGUUUUGGGCCAUUUGGGCCAUUACAUUUUUUUUUGUUUAUUUUGGGCUAUUUUGGGCCUAAUGGACUUUGGACUUUUGUUAUUAUUUUUUGGUUUGGUUUGUUUAGACCCGAGCUAAAUUGGCCUGUUACAUUAAUAGAGUGAUACCUUUCCUUUUUUUUUUCUAAAU